UUGUCUCAAAGAUUAAGCCAUGCAUGUCUCAGUACAAGCCGAAUUAAGGUGAAACCGCGAAAGGCUCAUUAAAUCAGUUAUGGUUCCUUAGAUCGUACCCACAUUUACUUGGAUAACUGUGGUAAUUCUAGAGCUAAUACAUGCAAACAGAGCUCCUACCGGAAACGGAAAGAGCGCUUUUAUUAGAUCAAAACCAAUCGGUGGCGGUCUCCGUCAUCGUACAACUUGGUGAAUCUGAAUAACUUUACGCUGAUCGCACGGUCUUGCACCGGCGACGCAUCUUUCAAAUGUCUGCCUUAUCAACUGUCGAUGGUAGGUUCUGCGCCUACCAUGGUUGUAACGGGUAACGGGGAAUCAGGGUUCGAUUCCGGAGAGGGAGCCUGAGAAACGGCUACCACAUCCAAGGAAGGCAGCAGGCGCGCAAAUUACCCACUCCCGGCACGGGGAGGUAGUGACGAAAAAUAACGAUACGGGACUCAUCCGAGGCCCCGUAAUCGGAAUGAGUACACUCUAAACCCUUUAACGAGGAUCAAUUGGAGGGCAAGUCUGGUGCCAGCAGCCGCGGUAAUUCCAGCUCCAAUAGCGUAUAUUAAAGUUGUUGCGGUUAAAAAGCUCGUAGUCGAAUCUGUGUCCCGCGCCGCCGGUUCAUCGUUCGCGGUGUUAACUGGCGUGCCGCGGGACGUCCUGCCGGUGGGCUUAGCCCGAGAGGGCGGCCCAACUCAAUCCCGCCGCGGUGCUCUUCAUUGAGUGUCGAGGUGGGCCGGCACGUUUACUUUGAACAAAUUAGAGUGCUUAAAGCAGGCUAAAACUUCGCCUGAAUACUGUGUGCAUGGAAUAAUGGAAUAGGACCUCGGUUCUAUUUUGUUGGUUUUCGGAACCCCGAGGUAAUGAUUAAUAGGAACGGAUGGGGGCAUUCGUAUUGCGACGUUAGAGGUGAAAUUCUUGGAUCGUCGCAAGACGGACAGAAGCGAAAGCAUUUGCCAAAAACGCUUUCAUUGAUCAAGAACGAAAGUUAGAGGUUCGAAGGCGAUCAGAUACCGCCCUAGUUCUAACCAUAAACGAUGCCAGCUAGCGAUCCGCCGACGUUCCUCCGAUGACUCGGCGGGCAGCUUCCGGGAAACCAAAGCUUUUGGGUUCCGGGGGAAGUAUGGUUGCAAAGCUGAAACUUAAAGGAAUUGACGGAAGGGCACCACCAGGAGUGGAGCCUGCGGCUUAAUU
Molecule: ribosomal RNA, 1218 nt
Filed under: Phylan semicostatus
Lineage: Eukaryota; Metazoa; Arthropoda; Insecta; Coleoptera; Tenebrionidae
Also listed under: 1 other name
Description: SSU rRNA
Rfam family: Eukaryotic small subunit ribosomal RNA
Source: RNAcentral